GAGACAGUUCGGUCCCUAUCUGUUGUGGGCGCGGGAGAUUUGCGAGGACCCGACACUAGUACGAGAGGACCGUGUUGGACAGACCACCGGUGAGCCGGUUGUACCGCCAGGUGCACCGCCGGGUAGCCGCGUCUGGCAAGGAUAAGUGCUGAAAGCAUCUAAGCACGAAGCCCCCCUCAAGAUAAGAUCUCCACACAAGGGUCGUCAGAGACGAUGACGUAGAUAGGUCGCAGGUGCAGGGGCGGUGACGCCUACAGCCGAGCGAUACUAAUCACCCGAACCCUUUCCGGG
This is a non-coding RNA of Bacteroides sp. CAG:927, 291 nucleotides long. The record is from Rfam. NCBI's taxonomy places the organism in Bacteria, Pseudomonadati, Bacteroidota, Bacteroidia, Bacteroidales, Bacteroidaceae.